Punica granatum (pomegranate) is the source of this 3314-nucleotide non-coding RNA. Lineage: Eukaryota; Viridiplantae; Streptophyta; Magnoliopsida; Myrtales; Lythraceae. The record is from RefSeq and is a predicted model, not a curated record.
UCUUUUCUUUUAGUUUUGUCAAUUCUCGAUUCUGAUGCGUGUUCGUGUUUUCAAUUUCAACGUAUGGCUGUCUCCUCGGAGUUUAAUCCUCAAAAAUCAGUUUCUUCGAGCUGAUUAUUUGAUUACAUUGGCACCGUAGGGUUUGAGCGUGAGAAACUGUUUGGGUUGACAGGUUAGGGUUUGUGAAUCAUCUCAUCCUCUCUGGAUGGAGAAGAUGAUUUGCCUAUUUCGUAAUUUUCGUUAACUUGCUUUGAUGGGCAGAAAAAGGUGUAGUUUUGAGCUGGGGAUUUGCUGUUCUUUGGGAUUUUGUUGUGAAAAUUUGGAUUUAGAGGGUAAUCUAUGAGUUUUGAUUAGAUUCAGUAGCUUGCUUUUGAUGCCCUUCAUGUUUGCCUACGCUUAAAGCUGUGUGAAGAAAUCAGUCUCCGAACUGUAAGCUCCACAUUGUGUUUUUGCUUCAGUUUAGGUGCAAUGGACUAUAGAUGGCACAGUGGUAAGCAUGAUUCUGGUGCUCGAGAUCGAAGAAAUCAAGGGAGAGGGGCAAGGAAGCAAUCUCUGUUAGAGAUUUCUCGUUCACUGUUAUGGACUCUCUCAUGGAGAAUCUGUCAGAGGAUUUCCGACCACCAAUAAACCAAAAGCCUACGGAAAAUGUGGAUUUAGAUGAUGUGAAACAAGCAUCUCUUGACACACAAUCGACAUCAUCCAAUGUUGGAUUUAGGCUUCUGCAAAAGAUGGGGUGGAAAGGAAAAGGCCUCAGGAAGGAUGAAACAAGGUACCUAUAUAAUCCACUGUUGCAAUAGAAAUUGUUGAGCCUAUAAAAUCAGACAUGAGACAGCCCAAGUUAGGGAUUGGGAAGCAAGAAGAAGAUGAUUUCUUUACUGCCGAGGAGAAUAUUCAGCGAAAGAAACUGGAUAUCGAUGUUGAGGGGACUGAAGAAAAUAUCAAGAAGCGAGAGAAAGCAGCACAUAGCAUAUAUGUGUGUCUUUUGAAGGGAAUGGUAUAUCAUAAGGGAGCAUCAACUUUGGAAGAAUUUCCUGCAGUUUUUAUUACCUGGUGGCUACUUCUACUGCGCCCUUCGUGCACCUUAUGAAAAUCCAAGUCAUAGCUGGUCUCGAGCAGAAAAUUCAGAAUGAGGUCAAAGAAAUAUGUAAGGUGUUCUUUUGUGAGCUUUGCAACAAGCAAUACAAAUUGGCCAUGGAAUUUGAGGUUCACCUAAGCUCAUACGACUGCAACCACAGAAAGAGGUUCAAAGAAAUGAAGGAGAUGCAUGGGAGUACUAGUCGUGAUGAAUGUCAAAAGAGAGAACAACAACGGCUCGAUAGGGAGAUGGCCAAAAUAACUGAUGCCCAUAAGCAGAAGCAACAACAACAAGAUGAUCCUGGGUCUGCUCCAGCUCCAACUGUAACAACUGCUGCUACAGCACUCGCUGAUCAGGAGCAGAGGAAGGCUUUGAAGUUUGGAUUUUCAUCCUAAAGUAACUGCUGUAAGGUGUGUUGCUUCGAGAUGUUUGAAUUUGCAUUAUAUCUAGUAACAUUAUUCUGGUCCAUACUCAUUGCAUGUGCAUGUGUUAUAUCUUCGGUAGCCUCAAUCGCUUGACGUUAGAAAGUCCAUGAUUCUUGCUUCUAAGAGAUGCUUGUUCAAAUCGGAACUCUACUAUUGCAUUGUUGAGAACCUUGCAUACUACAAAACGUGUGGAGUUAUUGAGGAGCUGAUUUACUUCUUCCAAGUCUCCCUAUCUGUUGAUUUGGCUUCUUAUUCCCUCAUUCUUGUCACGGUUGCUGGGCAGAGCUCACUUGGUGCUGCUACAAAGAAACCAAUCUUUUAGAUAAAAUUUUCUAUCUUAAUUACUCUCAAUCUUUUCUUUAAAUACUUCAUAUAUUCAAAUCAAGAAGUUAGAAUUGGUCUCAUGACAUGAAUAUAAACAAGUUACAAUUACAAAUUUUUUUUAUUAAUAUAUAUUAGGUACGUAAGACUUUUAGGAAGAUAAAGAAAAGUUUCAAUUAAUAUUACGUAUUAUGAUCAUUUAUAUCCGUAGAAGAAAGAAAAAGAAUUAGACCAAACUAAACUAUUUAAAACAUUACUUUAUUGGCAUAUAUGCCAAAUGUAAUAGUAACUUUACUUUAAAGAACUUUUUUCUUUUUUCCUUAUUGAAAAUUCAUUUUGGAAUGCAACGACCGUCUUUCAUAUUCUCCUCGCAUCUUCUCUCCUUCAUUUUUCAUGAAAAAACCCCCCAAGCACACUUUUCAUACUUUGUUUGGAUGGAGGGAAAUGCAAGGGAAGGGAGAGAACCGUGAGGGGAGAGGAAAAGUAUGUAUAGAAUUUUUCAAAAAUUUUAUAUAAAAUUUGACUUUUUGAAUUCUUCAAAAGAAAGGCUAUGGCCAUUUUGACUUUUUUGUGAGAAGGUUGAGAUAUUUAAGAAAUAGAUUUGGAUGAAUCUAUCUACGCUCCAAGUGGGCAAAACUUACUUGCAUUGUAAAGAUUUGGAACUCAGUGAAAGUACAGCACUUGAAAAGUUUGAAUAACAACUCAUGGUCUUUCUAGAAAAGGAAUAAAAAAAUUUGCUUUGAAAAUUCUGCUGAAGGGCGAAAAGGCCUUCAGUGGUAAUAAAUAUACGUGAUCAAUGCAACAAAAAAGAAGCCCUUGAUAAUCAAUCCAAUAAGCACAAAAUUAAGCCGAUAAGUCUCCUUUGCAAUUAAAAAAUAAGUUAAAAAACGAAUGAGAUUAUGCAGUAGAAGAAAAAGGGAAAAUUUAAAUAUAAUUAAAGAGUUCUUGUAAAUUCAACGAUUUCUUUUUUUUUUAAUAAUUCAUUGUUAUCUUCAUGAUUCUAUUCACAUUUUAAGAUUAUAUGAAUAAAUCAUAUAUAGUAAAAUUCUUGGAAAAAAGUUGGUGUUUUACAUUAAUUUCUCGUAAUAUUUUUUUUUCUUAUGAUGGUUAAAAUUUUAUCAACUUGUCAUCACUUAAUUUAGUUUUUUUUAAUGAAAUAUGCUACUUUGUAUUUAAACUUUAGUAAUCGAUACCCUAUUAGAAAUUACUAUUAAUUAUCUAUUAAUUUGUGUGAGAGUGACAUAAAGUAAUUAAUGAGAUGUAAAUUUAUCAAAAUUUAAAAUGUAAGAAGCGUAUAUAUCGUGGAAACUCACGUAUAAUAUAUAAAAAUUUGUGAUCCAUCACGUGUGUUAAAAAUAAGCCUUAUGAAUGCCUCUAAUGAUGCUUGGAUGAUCUCCAAUGCUUAUCAGCUUUUCAAUCUAACUAGUGAAUCUAUACAUGUGUUGCACGUGAAAGGUUUCUUGAUUAAGUGAUAAGACGUAAUACUUAUAAAA